AUCUGGAUAGCUCAGUGGUCUAGAGGAAUUGCGCGGAAAGCGAAAGACUCGGGUUCGAUUCCCGAUCCAGUCA
This 73-nucleotide transfer RNA is filed under the name Camponotus floridanus (Florida carpenter ant). It matches the Rfam family "tRNA". Rfam says of the family: Transfer RNA (tRNA) molecules are approximately 80 nucleotides in length. The record is from Rfam by way of RNAcentral. Lineage: Eukaryota; Metazoa; Arthropoda; Insecta; Hymenoptera; Formicidae.